This is a long non-coding RNA of Camponotus floridanus (Florida carpenter ant), 890 nucleotides long. RefSeq lists it as uncharacterized. The transcript has 3 exons. The record is from RefSeq and is a predicted model, not a curated record. NCBI's taxonomy places the organism in Eukaryota, Metazoa, Arthropoda, Insecta, Hymenoptera, Formicidae.
AACUAAAAGUCCGGGCGCCACCGCGCGCCAGUGCCGAGCCCGCGAUCGUGGCGAGCGUACGCGUAUCCCGUGCGUACCGUGCAUGUAUCUCUCGCGCGCGCGCGCGCGUUUAAACACACGGCUCUCCGAUCCCUGACACGCGUCGUGCGUGCGAGCGACCGCGCGGAAUUCAGUAGUCCUUCGUCGGUGCUGAGUCUCCGGUCGCCGACGAUCGCUCCGAAAAAAAAUUGCCGGCGUUUCCGCUCCAGGAUUCGCAAGGAGAGAGAACGAACGCGGGAGCGGACGUCGACGGAGGACCGUCGCGAGGAUCCGCGAUCGUCAGUGAACAGGUGACGUGAUCCGUACAAAGGAGCGCUCUUCUACCGCGUCCCAGGUAACUCGCGGCCGGAUCUCUCGCGAUCGGGCGAGCGGACGAGAGGGGGACAAGUGAUAUGAGUGCCGAACGCCGGAUCUUUCGUGACGUUAAACGGCGAUCGAGUCGCGAGCGUUACCAAGGAAAUACCAUCGAGUGAUCGGCACGCGAGCAAGACCGGAUAUCGCGCGCGAAGGGGAGACGAGUGGAUAGCGAGAGGGAAAGGGAAAGAGCGAAGGACGGGAAGAACGUAAUAGCAGUGUGUUCUCGUUUUGGUUGCGUGAGAGAGGAAAGCGGACCCGUCUACGCGUGCGGCGAGAAACGAGAAAAGUGAAGACGAGCUGGAGGACGGCCGGGUGAAAAUAGCCUCGAGGCGGGAAGGAAGGUGAAAAAGAUGAUGCGGUGCCAUCCGAUCGUUCUCCUCGCCGGCCUGCUCACCGUCGUCCGUGCUCAAGGGGUCCCGCGAACAUUUUCGGCUAGGCCUUACCGAGGAGGUUGGUUCGUUUGUUUGGUUUGCAAUUAGGAUUAGUCAGUAGAU